AGAAUAAUUACAGAACUGAAGAAGAGAGAGCAAACACGGUAAAAACAUAGUACAAACAAGAUAAAACAUACUCAAAGCAGAACAGAUGGAGGCAAGAGUCGUCAAAACUACUAAGAACCCAGAGUGAAAACAGAGAGAAAUCAUGAAUGCAAAGCUCAGAAACGUGGAGCGAACAACCAGAAGGUCAACAUGUAACCAAUGGGAAGGAGAAGGAGAACAAACUCAUGAAGGAGAAUUGAAAAUUUUAAAAUUAAUACAUUUUAAAAAUAAAGUCUAUAAAUUUAAAAGGCAUUGAAGGCCAGACUUCAACAAAAAAGUAAAAUGGAUUUUAUCAUACUUGGAAAACCAACAAUUGCAGUCUGGAUUCAAGCAUCACUGUUUGAUGCACCCAACUUGAGUCAAAAAGAUGCUUCAAAUCCCACUAGGCUGGAGCCAUCUGAAGAUUUGCCUGAGACUGAAGGAUUCACUUCUACGAUGGCUCCUUCAGAUGGAGCCAGAUUGAGAAAAACCAACCAACCAACCAACCAACCAACCAACCAACCAACGAACAGCAUGAUGGCUGAACCAGACAAGAGAAGUCCUGAAGAAAAAUACUUAUCAAUUACCAGAAUCUGUGCCUGCCAUACAUCAAAGUCUCUGACUUCUUUAUUCCACAUGACUCUGCAAACCUAUGUCUGAACUUACAUUCUCCUGAAACCGGAACGGAUGAAACUCAUUAGGUAAUGCCAGCGCUCUUACUGAUCUUCACCUCAAACCUCAGGAAACAAAGCCAGGCAUGAUAUCCUCAGCUUUUAUGUUCUUCCUUUUUUUGCUUAGGCCUGAAAGUUGCAGAUAGGAUGCAUCUAAAAUUGGAGUUUAGGAGGCAUAGUUUUUCAAAGGGUUUUUACUGGGCAGGAAAUGCCAUAUCCUAAAGGGUAGCAGUGUGUUCCUAUAGCUGGUACAGACAUCUGAAGUAAUUUAAAACCAACAUGAAUGAUAACCACAUUUUUGGCUUAUAAAUUUAAAACCAAGAAGAAGGAGUGGGCAAUGAUCAGGAUUCCAUAUUCAUUGUAGGGGAGCAAUUAAAACAUAGAUAAUUCAGUAUCUUUUGGACUUUAUUGGCUAACCAACAGUAUAAUAAAUCACAAAAAUUAUUAUUUCAAUGACUUAAAUAGAUAACUGCAGCUACAACUUCUGAAAUGUUGAAUGGAUAAAUGAGGGCCUAUGCUUUGGUCAGUACAAUGUAAGGCUUUGCAGUUGGCACCCUAUGCCCAGCUUCUUUUCCUGGCACAGUGCUAAAAUGGCACAUACAACUUCCAUCAGCACCAGCGUGUUCGUCAUUUAGCAUUUAGGAACACAGUGAAUAGCAAUUAUCAGCCAAAUAGCUGGGAAGUGAAAAUGACCUAGUAAUCAGAGUAAAUAUACAUUAUGUUGUCAUAGUAUAAUGUGUAAAUAUUGGAGAGGAAUAGCAGAACAUGGACAUGCAGAAUCUUUCUUUUAAGGCCUUGUAUGAACACAAGUACUAUCUUGGCUCUGGCAUGUUUUCUGGAUGACAGCUACUAAACAUGUUGAUUUAGUAAGUAGUAGGUCAUCUUAAUCAUUUGCUCACUUACAGGUACCAUGACCAGAAAAGGCAUUGCCCUGAGUUUUUAUAAAUCCUAAAUUUGGCUCCCAAUGACCAGGAGACAUAUGGAGAGAUGAAGCAGCUUGGUGGGAGUUCAGACAUUAUAAACCUUGCACAGCCAGUUGCUUUAGCUGCUUAUUCCAAUCCAACUGUAUGUUAAUUUUACAGAAUCCUUCCUUUGUUAAGCUGGGAAAAUAUGAAAAGCCACCAAUGUCAUUUUGCUUAUAUUCAUCUUCUCAGCAAAUCAGGUGGGGAUAGUAUCAAUGUUGCAAAAUGUUGCUAAACUGAGUACCUGGACUACAUGCUGUGCUGCACAGAGACAGAGAAGAAUAGGCAGAAAUUUUAUUUUAGAAACUUUUAUGGGUGCAAUAUCCUGGGAAAAUUAGGCUAACUGAUGCGAUAAGUUUAUUAGCAAGAUUCUAAACAGCAGACACACAUAAUUUCCCCACUUUUAAAAUUAAGGCUUAACAGACUUGGAGAGAAUAAAUCAAUAAUGCCUCUAUAGUAGAAGGUAAAGGAGAGUGAUGGUGGUAGUAAAUAUUUAUUUUUUGUAGGCACUCAAUAUCCUUUUCCAAAUUUCUUGAAGCUUUUUGCUAUUUUGUGGGUAGGAGGGAGUGGAUCUUCUCCCUGCAUUGAGUACAGUCUUGGUUUUGGCAAAUUCAGGUACCUGUCUCAUCUCUUUGGAAGUAUGGGCUUCCCUGAGUUUCUUUCCGUCAGAUUAUCUUUCUUACUGCUCCAUGACAGGCAAGCAAUGAGCAUGUGCCCUAAACUUAGCUAAUCACUCUCCUAAAAAACAAACAAAACAAAAGGCAGAGUCCAAUCAUUCUAAAAGAGGAUGUCCAUGGAGAUACUGCUGAGACUUUGGAAGCUACCUGGUUUUUGAUGGUUUCUUCAGUCUUCUCUAUGAUCAUGUACAUUGUCCCGUAGCUUCCUAAUAAUAUGAUUCUUGCUCAAAUUAAGUAGGCUUGCUUCUGUUGCUAGCAACCAAAGAACCUUAAUUAAUACAGUUUUUAACUUCUACCUAAAAUGCUGCAAAUAACUACUUAUCACCAGAGCAGAGGGUCAGAGAAACCACCAUGUUUGGGGUAGAUCUUUGGUGGUAAGAAGGUCAAUUGGAAUAUAGAAUUAUAAUAUUCAGACUGUGUAAGUUAUAUGGGUAAUCUUAAGAUCUCAAAAUAGUUUCUGCCCAUGUUUCUAGGUCUUUCUCUACUUCAUCUUCUCACAGUUUGAUUAAUUAGGAUGGAGUUGAACCAUCUGUACUUUUUGGCCUAAACAAGGUCCAAUACAUAAGAUAAACUCACUAAUGGAAUCUUGAUUUAAUGUAUACCCAAAAUGUAAUGUAUAAUCAGGGAAGUUUGCAAAGAAAACUGCACCUACUGUGCCCAGGGAGAAUGGUUUUCCUUGUCAAUAUCCAAGCAGCAACCAGGGAGUUAGGCUGGUGCAAAAGUAAUUGUGUUUUUAAAUUUUUUUUGUCUUUCCAGAACUCUAAUAUCAAAAUAUUUCUUAAUUAGGUUUACAAAUUUUUUGUCUUAGCUGCUAUAGGGAAUCAAACAUAAGGUACUGUUUCUGCCUACAGAAGCACAUAACUUCUUUGAAGAGAUUGCCAGACUAACUAGAAAGUUCUAUGAGAAAGAAGAUGGGGGCUGGAUGUGGUGGCUCAUGCCUGUAAUCCAGCACUUUGGGAGGCCAAGGUGAGAGGGUCACUUGAGCCUAGGAGUUCGGUACCAGCCUGGGCAACAUAGCAAGACCCAUCUCUACAAAAAAUUUCCUGGUAUGGUGGAACAUGCUUGUGGAUAGCUCACAGUGCUAUCUCCCAGCUACCUGGGAGGCUGAGGUGGGGAGAUCACUUGAGCACAGGAAGUUGAGGCUGUAGUAAGCCAAGAUUGUGCCACUGCACCCUUGCCUCAGCAACAGAGCGAGACAUCCUCUUAAAAAAAAAAAAAAAGAAAAGAAGAUGGAUGAGAAGACUUUGUAGAGAAAAUAGAAUUGUUUUCUUUGAGAAUUACUCUUCACUUUCAGUAACCAGCUGAUUUCACAGCUCAGGGUAGACCUAGAUGGUGUCACUGCUUCUUAAGGCCAGUGGUCCAGCUGAUUUUAUCCAGGAUGGCCUCUGCCAAAGAGGACUUGGGCUGACUUUAGCCAUA
Long non-coding RNA from Papio anubis (olive baboon), 3747 nucleotides. Lineage: Eukaryota; Metazoa; Chordata; Mammalia; Primates; Cercopithecidae. The record is from Ensembl.